Molecule: long non-coding RNA, 1116 nt
Filed under: Homo sapiens (human)
Lineage: Eukaryota; Metazoa; Chordata; Mammalia; Primates; Hominidae
Description: HSALNT0318833
Source: RNAcentral
GGCAGGGCGCGCGGGGCCCUCGGGCGCCGUGCCUCCCGCGCGCCUCCAGCGGGCUCUGCCUGGGGGCCCCGUGCAUCUUUGUUCCUCGCGGCCGUUGUCGCCGCUUCGCCCCGCUAGUGCCCCCGGCCCCGGGCGCUUUGUCUUUCACCGCUACCCGCUGCGACUCUCUACCCCCGGCCCUUUGUUUCGCCGCCUUGGGCGCUUUGUCCGACCCGUGGCGUCCCGCAUCCCCUCUCCAUCUCCUCCCCUCCGCUGUCCUUCCUCCCGUGCCCCUUUGUUGUGCCACACUCUUGUCGUUAGCCCAGUGACCUGCCACAGCCCGGGCACCAGAUUUCUGCCUUAAUUGUUCUUCCAUUGUCUUUCUCCUGUGGGUCCCCUCUCACCUUUCUGUAUGGUCCUGGAUCACCCCCCGAGGCUUUGUCUCCCCCAUCCACGGGCUUAUUCUCUCGGCACCCCCUUCCUCUCCCGUCAUCGGUUGAUUUAUCCACAACCCACGGUGUACGUCUGCUGAACUGUCUCAGCCCCGGGGACUCCAUCUGCUGCUUCUAAGUGCACACAAGACUCUACGCUUCUUGGUUAUGCCACCUGCAAUAAAUUGCAGCUGGCUGUUUCCACAGCCUCUGGAAGGGAAGAUGGAAGGACAGAGGAGAGUGAAAAGAAAGAAGGCUGUCAUACAGAGAAGAGAGGCUACAACUUGAAAUUUUAUACUGAAAGAUGAUCUGGUUUAUGAACAUGAUGAUGAUGUGUGUAGUGAAUUUUUUCUAGUGUAUAUGCCAAGGCAAUAUUAUUCUCUUGACUAUGGGAUUCAUUAAGUCUGUUGUAUCUGUCAUCCAUGCUUAUCCACAUGUCAAGGAAGUGAAUUAAUUUCAGCAUUCCCAAGAUAGAAGUGAUAGUAUAUGGUAAUUUACUUACAGCUUAUAAUAAUGAGUGUCAUUAUUUGAUUAAAUGGAUAUUACUAAUUAAUGGGAGUUGCCAUGUCACUAUUGUAAUGUUAAAAAAAAAAAGACCUUUCAGAGGUUAUUUCAUAAUUAUUGGUAAGUAAGCCAUUCUUUGUCCUGGCCUUCCUCCCAUGUAUUCAAUGUGAUAUGUACACUUUGCACACAGGAUUUACUGACA